GCCUUCGUGGUGUAGUGGGCAGCACGCUCAGCGCGUAUUCCUGAGAUCCGUGGUUCGAAUCCCGGCGAGGGCA
Molecule: transfer RNA, 73 nt
Filed under: Stegodyphus mimosarum
Lineage: Eukaryota; Metazoa; Arthropoda; Arachnida; Araneae; Eresidae
Rfam family: tRNA
About the family: Transfer RNA (tRNA) molecules are approximately 80 nucleotides in length.
Source: Rfam by way of RNAcentral